CUGAAUCUCAGAUCAGGCGAGAUCACCCGCUGAAUUUAAGCAUAUCAAUAAGCGGAGGAAAAGAAACUAACAAGGAUUCCCCCAGUAACGGCGAGCGAAGCGGGAACAGCUCGAGCCUGAAAUCCCUGGCAGGUGCUGCCAGAGAAUUGUGGCCGGGAGAGGCGGCGUUGCCCCUACUGUCGCUGUCGAAGUUGACCUGGAAAGGCACGUCGGAGAGGGUGAGAGCCCCGUGCGCGACACCGACGGGAAGGGCCGCUUCCGUCUUCUGAGAGUCGGGUUGUUUGGGAAUGCAGCCCAAAGUGGGUGGUAAACUCCAUCUAAAGCUAAAUACCGGCACGAGACCGAUAGCGAACAAGUACCAUGAGGGAAAGGUGAAAAGUACUUUGAAAAGAGAGUCAAAAAGACCGCGAAACCGUUAGGAGGGAAACGAAUGCAGCUGAAGUGGCUCCGUAUCAGGUUCAGGGGACGUCGGAGGUCGAUCUGGGUCACGACGAAGUCGAGCCCGGAGCGGCGGUCGACAACUCUGCACUCCUGUUGGGAGCCGGCCAACAGCAGUUGUUUCCGGCCCAGAAGGUCGGUCGGGAGGUGCCCCUGCACUCGUGCAGGGAGCGUAUAGCCGUUCGUCCGGUGGUCUGGGAGCGACUGAGGAGAGCCGUGAAUUUUCACGCGUGCAGCGCAGGCCCCUCGGGGCCGGGCCACCUCUGUCCGUUUGGGUCCCGCGGUGGGGACUGCGUGCAGUGUCCGCUGACGGUUCGCCUGCUCGGUCGGGGGGUCGGCCACGCCUUGCGCUCUGGCUGUUGGUGCUCAAAUGGCUGCAUCCGA
Molecule: ribosomal RNA, 822 nt
Filed under: Cliona viridis
Lineage: Eukaryota; Metazoa; Porifera; Demospongiae; Clionaida; Clionaidae
Description: eukaryotic LSU rRNA
Rfam family: Eukaryotic large subunit ribosomal RNA
Source: RNAcentral